GUGUCAGCCGCCGCGGUAAUACGGAGGAUGCAAGCGUUAUCCGGAAUGAUUGGGCGUAAAGCGUCCGCAGGUGGCGAUGUAAGUCUGCUGUUAAAGAGUGAGGCUUAACCUCAUAAAAGCAGUGGAAACUACAUGGCUAGAGUGCGUUCGGGGCAGAGGGAAUUCCUGGUGUAGCGGUGAAAUGCGUAGAGAUCAGGAAGAACACCGGUGGCGAAGGCGCUCUGCUAGGCCGCAACUGACACUGAGGGACGAAAGCUAGGGGAGCGAAUGGGAUUAGAAACCCGUGUAGUCC
RNAcentral lists this ribosomal RNA (292 nucleotides) under uncultured bacterium. Its description in RNAcentral is "partial 16S ribosomal RNA". It matches the Rfam family "Bacterial small subunit ribosomal RNA", at positions 505 to 796 of the family's 1533-position model. The record is from RNAcentral.